UCCCUCUGGUUUAGGUGAGAUUGAUCCCAUUCUGAUCCCAUUCUGAUUCAGUAGGUCUAGGUGAAGCCCAAUACCCCUGCUCCAAGCGGGGCACUUAUGCCAGCCUAGGCCAUUGAUUACCCUGGAAUGUUCAUGUGACUUAAGAGAGUCAGCUCCAGGACUUUUGCUGACUCUGUUGUGAGAGGGACUUUCUGCUGCGAAUGCCAAGUGGAUGGUAUGUAAGUCUGGAGCUGCUCCUGGCUUAUUUUGUGAAAGCUUACGGGAGAAUGAAGCCAUCUAGAAGAGAUCCGUUUGAGCAAUGAAGAAGAAGAUUCCGGAGGACGUUGAGCAUAUGGAUCCAGCUGCAGCUGAAACUGACACUGCCCUGGGACUUUGCAGAAUGAAUGACAAACUAUGGCGCUUGCCCAAGUUUCAUACAGUCAUGGAGAAGAACUAGCACCACAGGGCAUCUGGUGCCUAUUCCUCAACACAGAUGUAUCUCGAAUAGAUCGCUCCAGAGAGUGAGCUUCUGCUGCUUCAAAACAGCGUGCGGGAAUCGGAGACAUUACAUCAGGAAGUUACUGCAGAGAGAUUCUACUCCAUCUCAUUCAUUGUACAGG
Molecule: long non-coding RNA, 599 nt
Organism: Callithrix jacchus (white-tufted-ear marmoset)
Lineage: Eukaryota; Metazoa; Chordata; Mammalia; Primates; Cebidae
Source: RefSeq, a predicted model, not a curated record